This 470-nucleotide ribosomal RNA is filed under the name uncultured organism. RNAcentral's name for it is "partial 16S ribosomal RNA". It matches the Rfam family "Bacterial small subunit ribosomal RNA", at positions 335 to 796 of the family's 1533-position model. The record is from RNAcentral.
ACAUCCUACGGGAGGCAGCAGUGGGGAAUAUUGCACAAUGGGCGCAAGCCUGAUGCAGCCAUGCCGCGUGUAUGAAGAAGGCCUUCGGGUUGUAAAGUACUUUCAGCGGGGAGGAAGGCGAUAAGGUUAAUAACCUUGUCGAUUGACGUUACCCGCAGAAGAAGCACCGGCUAACUCCGUGCCAGCAGCCGCGGUAAUACGGAGGGUGCAAGCGUUAAUCGGAAUUACUGGGCGUAAAGCGCACGCAGGCGGUCUGUCAAGUCGGAUGUGAAAUCCCCGGGCUCAACCUGGGAACUGCAUUCGAAACUGGCAGGCUAGAGUCUUGUAGAGGGGGGUAGAAUUCCAGGUGUAGCGGUGAAAUGCGUAGAGAUCUGGAGGAAUACCGGUGGCGAAGGCGGCCCCCUGGACAAAGACUGACGCUCAGGUGCGAAAGCGUGGGGAGCAAACAGGAUUAGAAACCCGAGUAGUCC